UGAUUGUUAAGUGAAUAUGUUUUGUGGAUAAAUUUAGCUUUAAGGAGGUUGACAUCAGAAUUUCUUGUAUCCACAUGAUUAAAAAGUUAUUCUGAAUAGUAGCCAGGACUGGAAAAAUAGGUUUUUUGUGUUAGACUGUAUGUCACAAUGAAAUUUUUAAAAACAGGGUUCUACCUAUACAAUAUAUUACAAUGACUUUACAAUGCAAUCUAUACAUUUUAGGGUAUAUUCAUCCAAAUGUACAAAGUACUAUUCAAGGAGCAAUUAAAAUCUACAGGUAAAAUCUUUUUCUUCCCUGGCAUUUCUAGCAUGAUUUCAUAUAUGGGAACACAAAUUUAAAACUGUUUAAGUAUUCUAAAUCCUGAUUCCCAAGAAAUCAUGGCUGACCUAGCCCAAGCUACUUUCAAAAAUGCAUUUCCUACUCACUACCCUCCCUUUGACAGAGAGGACAGGAACUAACAUUAUAUUACACAUACUAAACCCUGUCGGUUUUCACUGUUUUUGUUUUUUUUUUUAAACUUGAGAGGACUCAUUUAGGUUAGGAAAAGGUAUUCUUAAAAAUAGCCUUGACAUAUAAACAAAAGGGCAUCAUCAAAAAAAAAAUUUUUUUUACUAUUUCCUAUUUUGCCUCUGUGAUCAUUAGAUAUUUGUAGAAAUGUUUUAUUGAUGCUUUUUUUUUGUCAUUGUCAAUUUCCAGCAACUUUAUUUUCCUUCCCUAUAGGACUUCUCUUGUAUAGUAUAAUAAAUGUGAUAAAGCAAUAGUACUUGACACAUUGGCCAUACCUAAAAACAUAUGCAUCAGUGUGUGUCUCUAGUUUAGAAUCUCAUUGCUGAGACUUGGGAAGCAGACUUCACCAAGUAUCCCCAAGUCAAAAUUCAUUGCUGCAUUCAUUAGAAUUCUGAAGUUUUUCAAAAUCAUUUUCUUUUAUAUUAUUGUAGUCAAUGGGUAAACUGUUCCCCUGGCACAGUUCAUUUCACUCUUCAUCAGUUCAUACAAAAUUUUCCAAGUUUUACAUUUUUUUUUUUGGUUCAAAAUAUUUAUUCCAGUUCUACCUCAUGCCCAUCAGAUUGGUAAAGUAGACCAAAAAAAAAAAAAAAAAAAAAAAAAGAAAAGAAAGAAAGAAAUGGUAUGUUGGAUGGACCAUGGGAAAACAGAUUAAUACGUAUUAAUCCAUUGUUGUUGAAGCUGUGAACUGAUUGGUAUUGCCAUUCUGGAAAACUACUCUGGAAAGCAAGUGGAACAAUGUCCCCAAAGUUAGUAAAUUGUAUUAUUAUGUCAAAUCAUUAU
This 1288-nucleotide long non-coding RNA is filed under the name Sarcophilus harrisii (Tasmanian devil). RNAcentral's name for it is "lncRNA (ENSSHAG00000023335.1)". The record is from RNAcentral. Lineage: Eukaryota; Metazoa; Chordata; Mammalia; Dasyuromorphia; Dasyuridae.